GAUGAACGCUGGCGGCGUGCCUAAUACAUGCAAGUCGAGCGAACAGACGAGGAGCUUGCUCCUCUGACGUUAGCGGCGGACGGGUGAGUAACACGUGGCUAACCUACCUAUAAGACUGGGAUAACUUCGGGAAACCGGAGCUACUACCGGAUAAUAUAUUCAACCGCAUGGUUCAAUAGUGAAAUACGUUUUUGCUGUCCCUUAUACAUUGAUCCGCGCCGCAUUAGCUAGUUGGUAAGGUAACGGCUUACCAAGGCUACGAUGCGUAGCCGACCUGAGAAGAUGAUCGGCCACACUGGAACUGAGACACGGUCCAGACUCCUACGGGAGGCAGCAGUAGGGAAUCGUCCGCAAUGGGCGGAAGCCUGACGGAGCAACGCCGCGUGAGUGAUGAAGGUCUUCGGAUCGUAAAACUCUGUUAUUAGGGAAGAACAAAUGUGUAAGUAACUAUGCACGUCUUGACGGUACCUAAUCAGAAAGCCAAGGCUAACUACGUG
Molecule: ribosomal RNA, 497 nt
Filed under: uncultured bacterium
Lineage: Bacteria
Description: partial 16S ribosomal RNA
Rfam family: Bacterial small subunit ribosomal RNA
Source: RNAcentral